This 450-nucleotide ribosomal RNA is filed under the name uncultured bacterium. RNAcentral's name for it is "bacterial SSU rRNA". It matches the Rfam family "Bacterial small subunit ribosomal RNA", at positions 34 to 484 of the family's 1533-position model. The record is from RNAcentral.
GAAUUCACUAGUGAUUCAGGCCUAACACAUGCAAGUCGAGCGGGGUUUUCGGACCUAGCGGAGGACGGGUGAGUAAUGCGUAGGAAGCUACCCGACAGAGGGGGAUACCAGUUGGAAACGACUGUUAAUACCGCAUAAUGUCUACGGACCAAAGUGUGGGACCUUCGGGCCACAUGCUGUCGGAUGCGCCUACGUGGGAUUAGCUAGUUGGUGGGGUAAUGGCUCACCUAAGGCGACGAUCCCUAGCUGGUUUGAGAGGAUGAUCAGCCACACUGGAACUGAGACACGGUCCAGACUCCUACGGGAGGCAGCAGUGGGGAAUAUUGGACAAUGGGCGAAAGCCUGAUCCAGCCAAGGCGCGUGUGUGAAGAAGGCCUUCGGGUUGUAAAGCAUAAUGAGCGAGGAGGAAGGGUUGUGUGUUAAUAGCACACAGCCUUGACGUACUCGCAG